This is a long non-coding RNA of Peromyscus californicus insignis, 3713 nucleotides long. RefSeq lists it as uncharacterized. Lineage: Eukaryota; Metazoa; Chordata; Mammalia; Rodentia; Cricetidae. The record is from RefSeq and is a predicted model, not a curated record. The transcript has 3 exons.
AGCUACUGUGCUUAAAGGAGAAUCCUCCUCAAAUGGUUAUAAAAAGUCUCCUGUUCAAAGCAGUAUUGUUCAAAACUGGCUCUAAUGUGUUUCCCCUUUUUUCUUUUGCUCUAGAUAAUGUUCACAACUCUUGAGCAUCCCACUGGCAGCCUACAGCACCGUGGAUGUGUUUGCACCUAGGGCCUGAGAGCUUUAGAGCAUUGCAAAAAUCCUGGAGGCUGGUUUAUUCCUUCCUUCUCCCCUGCACGCCCUCUGACUACAGGAUUCAGUAGAACUAGUCCCACAAGACGAGACGGAAUAAAGCAGUGGUGGAGCUUCUGGAGUGCCGAGACAAAAAUUAGGAAUGGUGACACACAGCUCAGUGGUAGAGUAUUUUGGUGGCAUGUGUAAGGACUUGAGACUUGGGUUUAAUCUCCUGUUUGUUUUUUUAAAGGAAGAAAAUGAAAUUUUGGGGUAUGUAUACCCAGAUAUAACAACAAAAUUGUUCAGAAACUGACAAUCAAGCAAAACUCCAUGCUACCAGAUGAGAUGAAUGUGGGACACUUGUUGGUCUAAAUCCUUUCCCAGGAAAGCCUCACCUUACUAAAUGCCACUGGCUGUGUUCAAUUUAAUGUCAAAAACAAAAAAAGGUGGGGUGUGGUAGCGCUGGUCUGUAAUCCCAGCACUUUGCACUUGUCAGCUGGAAGCAAGGGAAUCAGGAGUUUAACAUCAGUCUCAGCUACUUAGCAAGUUCAAAACCAGCCUGGACUACAUGAGACCAUGUCAGAAACCAAACCAAGAAAAACUUCCUGUUCCUAAGGAACAAGCUUUAUAGAGUGUCUGUGGAAUAAGAAUGCACCAGAUGACUAAGAUUGGAAUUUUGAAUAGAUCAAAGCAGUCUGGAGUGUUCUAGAAACUGCAUGAACAUACCUUAAGUUAGAUUGAGGUAAGGGGAGACGUGUCAGUGUUCAGACACAGGAGGAGCCUGGCCUAUGAGUCAGCAAGGCCUAACAGGACCACAGGAAGCUUGGCCAGGGGGUCCCCACACAGUGGAUGCUCAUCAUUACUGGCUGUCGCAUGUUGAGAAGUCCCAGGAAUUGUGACAACCCGGACUUGAGUGUGUUGUGCAUGCAGCCAUGAAGUGGGAGGCUGCAGCAGGUCCUGACGACUUCUCUCAUAAGACUCCCACGGGGCAAUGUGUGUGCGGCUUUUGACACCCACUUCCUUUUCUGCAGAAACGCCCUCUCUGCUAAUGUUGCCGACCUAGACACCCCCUCCUUUAUACCAGAGCUAUCUGCGUGCGCUGCUGCCUCAAAGGCACCCACCACCCACGUACUUCCUCAAAUCCCUACAAGCCCACACUGGAGCCUACUCUGCUGGAUCUGGAUCAGGAGAGGGGGGGUCUCAGAGUGCUCCCGGGGGCGUGCCCUGGAGGGCGUGGUGACAACGUCUGAGCUGGCUGGCCCAGCAGGGGCCCACGUGAGCUGUUUACCUGCUUGCCCUUGGCAGUUCGCAGACGGGUGUAGCGGGGCUGGGGCGAGGGAGUGCCUGGGAACAGUCAGUGUGCGCCUGGCUUGGCGCUGUGCCUUGCAGCUGGCGGGAGGGUGGGGUCGCCCUGCCCUGCUGGGAGCUGCUGACCGGAAAGUGAUUGGGGAUGGGAGCCCCUAGGCUUUUUCCGCUGGGAACCUUGACUGUGAGGCAGAGAGGCUUUGGACAGCAUUACUAUUUGGGAGCAUGGAGAGACUCAAAGAGACCUUUCCAGGCUCAUUCCUGUCUGCUGUCUGCCUUGUGACUUUCGCCAAGUCACUUGAUCUGGGGCCUUAGUUUCCUCAGUUGUCUUGAGGGAAUGAGGCCUGAAAGUGGCCAAGAAGGAAACACAAGUCAUGUCACAUUACAUUCAUUCCAUGUCUAGUGAGUAUUUAGGAUGCUCGGCCAUGUCCUGAUCCUGAGGUUCUGGUGCCUAGCGCCAGCACUGUGCAAGUUAGGUGCUGGCGCUCAGGAGUGGGCCGUGAGCAGGCUUGACCUCAGAGUCCUCACCGGACGACAUAUUGGCUACAAAGGUCAUGAGAAGAGGCGAGGUCUUUGACGUACUUCCUGUCGUCCCUGGCACAGAAUGGGCUCCUAACCCCAAGCUACAGGCUUCCGGCCGCACAGAGGGUUUGGAGACAGCUGAUCAUCUGAGUGCAGCCUGGUCUGGAGAAAUGGAAACAGACCUCGCAAGCUGGGCGUGCACAGCGCAGAGCGGGCUCAGUUUCCACGAUGCUGGCUAGCCAAGAAGGAAUGCAGUUACUCAUUAAGCACACUCCCGUUGAUCCCUGCCUUAGCAAAGCUUCUCAGCCUGGCUUUCGAAUCUCUAGUCCAACCUCUGCUUAAAAAAAAAAAAAGCCCAGUGAACAGUUCAUGGAUGUUUCUCCCGAUUCACACUUUCUAAUGAAUAAGAUUGUAAACAAGAUUGGCCUACAUCAGUGGUGAUUUGUGUAUCAGAAUAACUUGGGGAUGAGCUUGCCAGCAUUUAAUAGCAGAGUUGGUAAAGCCAGAUUGCAGUUGCUUUCGGCUCAAAGUCUGGAAGACGUUCCUACUUUGUGCCUUAGCAAUAACACAAAAAAUACUGCCGCCCUUGUUGCCACUAGGUGGUCUCAACAGCUGUUUCUGUUUUGAUGUUGUAAACUCCUGUUUUGACCUUAAUUUCACCUUUUUUUUUUCCCUGUCAGUAGCCACUUUAAGGUCCUGUUGCUACAAGAAUUAAGGGAAAACCCAUUAGCAGUGAGUUAUUACCACACCCCUGACUUCUGCAGAAUGUUGAGUAAAUCAAACUUCUGUUCUUUCUGGAAAAAACCUGCAGCUGAAACUGGGAUGGGGCUAAAGAAAGCCAGCUGGCUUCUGCGUCUGCCUGCCACUGGCCGUUUCUGUUUAAGAUCUGUUUAUCAUGCAACCUACUUGGCCAGGAUGUGACUAGCUUUCCUAAGUCUAGGGUGGUGACAUACACUGUGUGAUGCCUCACAUCUAAAAUACACGAGAACCACCCGUUGAGCCUCACGUUUGUUGAACUCAGUGGUCUGGUCACACAUAUUAACAGUUCCUUGUUAGAAAACAGUAGCUAUUUGGUUAAUGUUAUGUAUGAAUAAUAACUUAAAAAUAACUAAAACAUGGAGAAUUUCAGGGUUCAACAUUUUCAUUUAGCAUACUUUUUUCAUUUCAAUCUUUUAAAAAGGUGAGUUUAGUUGCCAAUGUUUUGGGCUCUUAAGAUUGAUAUAAAAGAGCCAGCUGUCUGUCUCUGGUCUCAUUUCAGUUUUCCAUACAUUUUUUUUAAACAAGGAGUAUAUACUAUGCUACAUCAGUAUGGCAUUAUUAUUAAUAUUCACUAAGAAUGUUCUAUAUAUAUAUUUAUUGUAUGUAUAUGUGUGUAUGUGAUAUAUUUGUAUAUACAUCACUCCAUUUAGUGUGAUAUGUGUGCAUAUAUAGCUAUAUCUAUAUAAUAGUGUCAAUCACUCCUUCAGCAUCAUGGCAUUAUUACCCCCACCUCCCUGCUUUCUGUAGUAUUGGGGAUAUUCACUAGGCUAAUAUUCUACUGCUGAACCACACUCCUAGCCCAUUACUGUUUCUAAAAGAUUCUUCCAGUAAAGUUAAGCUACACACACACCCCACCUUGUAUUGGGAAUAAAGGCCAGGGGGCCUUGCUGAACAACAACUCUGUCAUUGAGUACAUCUCCAGUAACAUGUACUUUUUAAUUGUG